Molecule: unclassified non-coding RNA, 824 nt
Filed under: Hevea brasiliensis (rubber tree)
Lineage: Eukaryota; Viridiplantae; Streptophyta; Magnoliopsida; Malpighiales; Euphorbiaceae
Source: RNAcentral
GUUGCAGAAAACACAAUCUGGAGCUCUUGUUUCCAUUAUCAGUCUUGUCAUAAUGGCUACAUUAUUCCUGCAUGAGCUGACAUAUUAUCUCACUACUUACACGGUUCAUCAGAUGUCGGUGGACUUGAAACGUGGAGAAACGCUUCCAAUUCACAUAAAUAUGACAUUUCCUUCCUUACCUUGUGAUGUCUUGAGUGUGGAUGCAAUUGACUUGUCAGGCAAGCAUGAAGUUGAUCUUGAUACAAACAUUUGGAAACUUCGCUUGAAUAGUUAUGGUCAUAUCAUUGGCACUGAAUAUUUGUCGGACCUUGUAGAAAAGGAACAUGCUGCUCACAAACAUGAUGAUGAUAAAGAUCACCAUGAGGAUUCUGAUACGAAUCUUCAUGCUCAUGGCUUUGAUCAAGCUGCUGAAAGUAUGAUCAAGAAGGUUAAACAAGCAUUGGCAAAUGGAGAGGGAUGCAGGGUUUAUGGCGUUCUAGAUGUACAAAGGGUUGCUGGAAACUUUCACGUUUCAGUUCAUGGGCUAAACAUUCUUGCUGCUCAAAUGAUUUUUGAAGGAGCGACGCAUGUCAACGUGAGUCACAUUAUUCAUGAUUUAUCAUUUGGACCAAAAUACCCUGGACUUCACAACCCUCUAGAUGGUACAACAAGAAUUCUGCAUGACACAAGUGGAGUAUUCAAAUAUUACAUUAAGAUUGUUCCAACUGAAUAUAGAUACAUCUCUAAGGAAGUUUUGCCAACCAAUCAAUUCUCUGUUACUGAGUAUUUUUCCCCCAUCAGCGAAUUUGAUAAGAAAUGGCCAGCUGUUUACUUCUUGUAUGAUU